Molecule: transfer RNA, 62 nt
Filed under: Bolivaritettix lativertex
Lineage: Eukaryota; Metazoa; Arthropoda; Insecta; Orthoptera; Tetrigidae
Description: tRNA-Tyr
Source: RNAcentral
GAUGAGGUGGCCGAACUAGGUGGUUAAUUGUAAAUUAUCUUAUGGAAAUUUUCCUCUUAUCA